GGGGUUGCCUAGUUUCGACAGGAUGCACAUUCAAAAUAUGCAAGCCGAUCUCGGAAGUAUGAUCGAAAAACUCGCUUCCACGAUGAUAAAUGCAAACUUCAUCACCAAGGCCAAGAACGCAUUCGCGCAAGCGUUUGCCCCUUCUUUCGCGCCUGCCCUCGCCUAAUUCAGUUUAGUGCGGAGCCAUCGAACGCCUGAUUCCCGGUAGGAACGUUCGGUGUCAUAUUAUCGGGACGACAAGAGGCGACUUCCGUUUUUUCCCGCCUUGAGCCGUAUGCACGAAGAAACGAUCCUGAAGGGAUUUCGCGUAUCUUUUACCCCUCAGUAUCACCCAAGACACGCUAAGCUUGUAGAUUAUUUUGAAGAAACAUUUUGGACAUGGGUGCGAUUCCCAUCAACUCCACAU
This 406-nucleotide transfer-messenger RNA is filed under the name Candidatus Moraniibacteriota bacterium. It matches the Rfam family "transfer-messenger RNA". From Rfam's summary of the family: Bacterial tmRNA, also known as 10Sa RNA or SsrA, is named for its dual tRNA and mRNA-like properties. Its role is to liberate the mRNA from a stalled ribosome. Lineage: Bacteria; Candidatus Moraniibacteriota. The record is from RNAcentral. RNAcentral also lists the same sequence under 1 other name.